AAUGUUUGAUACCGUUGACUUUUUAGCACAUGUUUGACCGUUCGUCUUAUUCAAAAAAUUUAAGUAAUUAUUAAUUUUUUUCCUAUCAUUUGAUUCAUUGUUAAAUAUAUUUUUAUGUAGGCAUAUAAUUUUACAUAUUUUACAAAAGUUUUUGAAUAAGACGAACGGUCAAACAUAUGCUAAAAAGUCAACGGCGUCAAACAUU
Molecule: microRNA precursor, 205 nt
Filed under: Oryza glumipatula
Lineage: Eukaryota; Viridiplantae; Streptophyta; Magnoliopsida; Poales; Poaceae
Description: MIR812 microRNA precursor family
Rfam family: MIR812 microRNA precursor family
Source: Rfam by way of RNAcentral